RNAcentral lists this ribosomal RNA (254 nucleotides) under uncultured bacterium. RNAcentral's name for it is "partial 16S ribosomal RNA". It matches the Rfam family "Archaeal small subunit ribosomal RNA", at positions 474 to 727 of the family's 1478-position model. The record is from RNAcentral.
CCCCAGCGCCACAAGUGGGAACCACGUUUAUUGGGUCUAAAGCACCCGUAGCCGGCUUGGCAAAUGCCCUGUGAAAUCGUUUCGCUCAACGGAACGGCGGGCAGGGUAGACUACCAAGCUAGGGACCAGGGGAGGGAGGCGGUAUUCCUGAGGGAGCGGUAAAAUGUGAUAAUCUCAGGAGGACCACCGAUGGCGAAGGCAGCCUCCUAAAAUGGAUCCGACGGUGAGGGAUGAAAGCUAGGGGAGCGAUCCGG